This is a long non-coding RNA of Triticum aestivum (bread wheat), 162 nucleotides long. RefSeq lists it as uncharacterized. Lineage: Eukaryota; Viridiplantae; Streptophyta; Magnoliopsida; Poales; Poaceae. The record is from RefSeq and is a predicted model, not a curated record. The transcript has 3 exons.
CAAUGGGCAGUAGAUAAUGACAUGUGGCAAGCUAGAGUUGAUAGCAUUAAGCAUUUAUUUGAAGAAGCAAGAAUUGAUUCAGGGAAGAGUGAAAUAGAUGCAGAGGUUGUGAAAAAGGUUUGGGACAAGAUAGCACCUUCUAUGGCUUAACAGUUUGAUACU